This 430-nucleotide ribosomal RNA is filed under the name uncultured bacterium. RNAcentral describes it as "bacterial SSU rRNA". It matches the Rfam family "Bacterial small subunit ribosomal RNA", at positions 42 to 474 of the family's 1533-position model. The record is from RNAcentral.
UCAGGCCUAACACAUGCAAGUCGAACGAUGAACCCUAGCUUGCUAGGGGGAUUAGUGGCGAACGGGUGAGUAACAUAUCGGAACGUACCUAGUAAUGGGGGAUAACUAGUCGAAAGAUUAGCUAAUACCGCAUACGCCCUGAGGGGGAAAGUAGGGGAUCUUCGGACCUUAUGUUAUUAGAGCGGCCGAUAUCUGAUUAGCUAGUUGGUGGGGUAAAGGCCUACCAAGGCGACGAUCAGUAGCUGGUCUGAGAGGACGACCAGCCACACUGGAACUGAGACACGGUCCAGACUCCUACGGGAGGCAGCAGUGGGGAAUUUUGGACAAUGGGCGCAAGCCUGAUCCAGCCAUGCCGCGUGAGUGAAGAAGGCCUUCGGGUUGUAAAGCUAUGGGCAAGGGAAGAAAACUUACAUUCUAAUAAAGUGUGAGG